ACGCUGGCGGCGUGCCUAAUACAUGCAAGUCGAACGAGAGCGACCGGUGCUUGCACUGGUCAAUCUAGCGGCGAACGGGUGAGUAACACGUGGGUAACCUGCCCAUCAGAGGGGGAUAACAUUCGGAAACGGAUGCUAAAACCGCAUAGGUCUUCGAACCGCAUGGUUUGAAGAGGAAAAGAGGCGCAAGCUUCUGCUGAUGCAUGGACCCGCGGUGCAUUAGCUAGUUGGUGAGGUAACGGCUCACCAAGGCCGUGAUGCAUAGCCGACCUGAGAGGGUGAUCGGCCACAUUGGGACUGAGACACGGCCCAAACUCCUACGGGAGGCAGCAGUAGGGAAUCUUCCGCAAUGGACGCAAGUCUGACGGAGCAACGCCGCGUGAGUGAAGAAGGUUUUCGGAUCGUAAAACUCUGUUGUUAGAGAAGAACAAGUGCUAGAGUAACUGUUAGCGCCUUGACGGUAUCUAACCAGAAAGCCACGGCUAACUACGUGCCAGCAGCCGCGGUAAUACGUAGGUGGCAAGCGUUGUCCGGAUUUAUUGGGCGUAAAGCGAGCGCAGGCGGUUCCUUAAGUCUGAUGUGAAAGCCCCCGGCUCAACCGGGGAGAGUCAUUGGAAACUGGGGAACUUGAGUGCAGAAGAGGAGAGUGGAAUUCCAUGUGUAGCGGUGAAAUGCGUAGAUAUAUGGAGGAACACCAGUGGCGAAGGCGACUCUCUGGUCUGUAACUGACGCUGAGGCUCGAAAGCGUGGGUAGCAAACAGGAUUAGAUACCCUGGUAGUCCACGCCGUAAACGAUGAGUGCUAAGUGUUGGAGGGUUUCCGCCCUUCAGUGCUGCAGUUAACGCAUUAAGCACUCCGCCUGGGGAGUACGACCGCAAGGUUGAAACUCAAAGGAAUUGACGGGGACCCGCA
RNAcentral lists this ribosomal RNA (912 nucleotides) under uncultured bacterium. Its description in RNAcentral is "bacterial SSU rRNA". It matches the Rfam family "Bacterial small subunit ribosomal RNA", at positions 33 to 925 of the family's 1533-position model. The record is from RNAcentral.